GACGAACGCUGGCGGCGUGCUUAACACAUGCAAGUCGAACGGAAAGGCCCUGCUUUUGUGGGGUGCUCGAGUGGCGAACGGGUGAGUAACACGUGAGUAACCUGCCCUUGACUUUGGGAUAACUUCAGGAAACUGGGGUUAAUACCGGAUAGGAGCUCCUGCUGCAUGGUGGGGGUUGGAAAGUUUCGGCGGUUGGGGAUGGACUCGCGGCUUAUCAGCUUGUUGGUGGGGUAGUGGCUUACCAAGGCUUUGACGGGUAGCCGGCCUGAGAGGGUGACCGGCCACCAUGGGACUGAGAGACGGACCAGUCUCCUACGGGAGGCAGCAGUGGGAAAUAUUGCACAGUGGGCGGAAGCCUGAGGCAGCAGCGCCGCGUUCGGGAUGACGGCUUUCUGGGUGUGAACCGCUUUCGCCUGUGACGAAGCGGGAGUGACGGUAAUGAGUAAAGAAGCACCGGCUAACUACGUG
This 468-nucleotide ribosomal RNA is filed under the name uncultured bacterium. Its description in RNAcentral is "partial 16S ribosomal RNA". It matches the Rfam family "Bacterial small subunit ribosomal RNA", at positions 28 to 507 of the family's 1533-position model. The record is from RNAcentral.